Molecule: non-coding RNA, 32 nt
Filed under: Rattus norvegicus (Norway rat)
Lineage: Eukaryota; Metazoa; Chordata; Mammalia; Rodentia; Muridae
Source: RNAcentral
UCGCUGGCUACUUGUUCACAUGACACUGGAUA